This 468-nucleotide ribosomal RNA is filed under the name uncultured bacterium. RNAcentral describes it as "partial 16S ribosomal RNA". It matches the Rfam family "Bacterial small subunit ribosomal RNA", at positions 28 to 507 of the family's 1533-position model. The record is from RNAcentral.
GACGAACGCUGGCGGCGUGCUUAACACAUGCAAGUCGAACGGAAAGGCCCUGCUUUUGUGGGGUGCUCGAGUGGCGAACGGGUGAGUAACACGUGAGUAACCUGCCCUUGACUUUGGGAUAACUUCAGGAAACUGGGGCUAAUACCGGAUAGGAGCUCCUGCUGCAUGGUGGGGGUUGGAAAGUUUCGGCGGUUGGGGAUGGACUCGCGGCUUAUCAGCUUGUUGGUGGGGUAGUGGCUUACCAAGGCUUUGACGGGUAGCCGGCCUGAGAGGGUGACCGGCCACAUUGGGACUGAGAUACGGCCCAGACUCCUACGGGAGGCAGCAGUGGGGAAUAUUGCACAAUGGGCGGAAGCCUGAUGCAGCAACGCCGCGUGCGGGAUGACGGCCUUCGGGUCGUAAACCGCCUUCGCCUGUGACGAAGCGUGAGUGACGGUAAUGGGUAAAGAAGCACCGGCUAACUACGUG